Molecule: ribosomal RNA, 17 nt
Filed under: Phaeothyriolum amygdalinum
Lineage: Eukaryota; Fungi; Ascomycota; Dothideomycetes; Microthyriales
Description: partial 28S ribosomal RNA
Source: RNAcentral
GUUUGGCCUCAACCUGU